GAAGAGAUUGUAGAGAAGGCAGAAAUCUCUUGCAGGAGAGUGUACCUUGUGACUUGGCUUGAGGUUUGAGCCACAGAAGACCCAGCCAGAGGCAAACAGCCUUCAGGAGGUGCUGGAGACAAGGGCCCCUGACACAAGAAGGUGCUAUGGGUGAGGAUGCACUGAGCCUUACUCCUGAGGGGAUAAAUUAUGCAUGUCUCACCCAGGCCUGCGGUCAGUGGGGUGGUACCGUCACAGGUCUGCAGCUCUGUGUGGCCCUAGGAAUGUUCAAAAUGCACAAAGGCCCCAACCGUCCAAGCCUCGGGCACGCAGGGUCUAGCACAAGGCGGGCUUGAUCCCUGUUGGGGCCCCUAGCUGUGGCCACAAUACAAAAUAACAACAGGAGCUGGGGACUUUGGAAAAUCCAGGAGCGAGGGGACGAGACUAGAGCCAGUCUAAGACUUAUGCCGAAUCUGCAGAGAAAGCCAAGCGUGAGAUUCUCCACAUUGCCUUGCUUCCAGUGCCCUCAGCUGUGGCCUGGAGGGGCUGCUUUCCCUAGAGCUGGCAGGUGAUGCCAGUUCAGCCCUGCUCCUUUCUCCAGUACAAAGGGCAAGCUGUGCUAAAUGUGGUGUUAUGAGAACUGAGCUGCAACGAGCAAACUUUGACCACUGAGUUUGAGCACGAACAAGGGAAGCAGGGGGCUGAGCUCUGUGCCGUCUCUGCUAGGUGGAGUCAUCCAGAAAACACAAUGCUGCAGUGUCUACUGGAGUGGAAGGAAAAUAAAGUCAGCAUUUAAAAACAUCCGCAGGCAAGAUUUUCAAAAGGACAAGUGAGGCUGAGUGCCUCAGGUUGUGGGGUGGCCAAUUGGAGAUGCCAUAAAGAGGGAGGUAGUGUUGCUCAAUGGGUAGUGCACCAGAAUGGGAUACAGGAGACCUGCAUUUUUUCCCUGGCCUGCUGGGUGACCUUGGUCAAGUCACUUUGCUACUUUGUGCCUCAAUUUCCCCAUAUGUAACUUCCUUUGACUGACUUCCUUUGUAAAUACUUCAAGACCCACCGACGAGAACAGCUAGGUAUUAUAAUAAAGGGGCCUGAGUUUCAGAGAGUGGGUGCUCAGUACUCUCUGCACAUCAGGCCUCAAAAGUGAGUAACUAAAGGCUGACAUCUUGGCCACUCAUAUUGGAUCUCCGCCUGACACCGAUUAUAUUUUACCAUUUCAAACAAACAGUGUCUGUACAACUCAGUUUCCUGUGCAUGGUGGGAAAGCACUUGCAGAUUUCUUUGCAACUGGAGUCAAUGAAGGGAUAAAAUAAAAGCAGGGGAAAAAAGGUGUUACGUUUAAUACUGUCUGCCGGGCUGCAAUCCAUGUCUGUUUCUGGCUGCUUCUUCCUGUGUGGCAGUAUUGUAAUAGGAUUCUCCCAUAUUAAUAUUUUAAAUGAAUAAAUAAAUAUCUGAUGAGAGAUACUGUGCAUCUUGACAACCUUUUCAUAAAAUCUGGGAGGAAAAAAAGGUGAGAAAAUUAAAGAAAAGAUUGAAA
Chelonia mydas (Green sea turtle) is the source of this 1513-nucleotide long non-coding RNA. RefSeq lists it as uncharacterized. The record is from RefSeq and is a predicted model, not a curated record. The transcript is spliced from 4 exons. NCBI's taxonomy places the organism in Eukaryota, Metazoa, Chordata, Testudines, Cheloniidae.